Molecule: ribosomal RNA, 519 nt
Filed under: uncultured bacterium
Lineage: Bacteria
Description: bacterial SSU rRNA
Rfam family: Bacterial small subunit ribosomal RNA
Source: RNAcentral
AGAGUUUGAUCCUGGCUCAGAUUGAACGCUGGCGGCAUGCCUUACACAUGCAAGUCGAACGGCAGCACGGGAGCAAUCCUGGUGGCGUGUGGCGAACGGGUGAGUAAUAUAUCGGAACGUGCCCUGUAGCGGGGGAUAACCUAUCGAAAGAUGGACUAAUACCGCAUACGCUCUACGGAGGAAAGCGGGGGUCGCAAGACCUCGCACUAUAGGAGCGGCCGAUAUCGGAUUAGCUAGUUGGCGGGGUAAAAGCCCACCAAGGCGACGAUCCGUAGCUGGUCUGAGAGGAUGAUCAGCCACACUGGAACUGAGACACGGUCCAGACUCCUACGGGAGGCAGCAGUGGGGAAUUUUGGACAAUGGGCGCAAGCCUGAUCCAGCCAUGCCGCGUGAGUGAAGAAGGCCUUCGGGUUGUAAAGCUCUUUCGGCAGGAACGAAAUGGUUCGUGCCGAUACCACGGAUUGAUGACGGUACCUGAAGAAGAAGCACCGGCUAACUACGUGCCAGCAGCCGCGGUAA